UCGAGAAUCUUCGGCAAUGGACGCAAGUCUGACCGAGCGACGCCGCGUGCGGGAUGAAGGUCUUCGGAUUGUAAACCGCUGUCAGAGGGGAUGAAGUGUACGGGGGUACUCCCCUGUACUUGACAGAGCCUCAGAGGAAGCACGGGCUAAGUUCGUGCCAGCAGCCGCGGUAAUACGAACUGUGCGAACGUUAUUCGGAAUCACUGGGCUUAAAGGGUGCGUAGGCGGUUACCUAAGUCAGGUGUGAAAUCUCUCGGCUCAACCGGGAAACUGCGCUUGAAACUGGGUGACUGGAGUGAGGUAGGGGUGUGUGGAACUUCCGGUGGAGCGGUGAAAUGUGUAGAUAUCGGAAGGAACGCCAGCAGCGAAAGCGGCACACUGGACCUUUUCUGACGCUGAGGCACGAAAGCUAGGGGAGUGAACGGGAUUAGAUACCCCUGUAGUCC
This 446-nucleotide ribosomal RNA is filed under the name uncultured bacterium. RNAcentral describes it as "bacterial SSU rRNA". It matches the Rfam family "Bacterial small subunit ribosomal RNA", at positions 355 to 796 of the family's 1533-position model. The record is from RNAcentral.